AUUGAACGCUGGCGGCAGGCCUAACACAUGCAAGUCGAACGAGUGGCGGACGGGUGAGUAAUGCCUGGGAAACUGCCUGAUGGAGGGGGAUAACUACUGGAAACGGUAGCUAAUACCGCAUACCAUCGGAUGUGCCCAGGUGGGAUUAGCUAGUUGGUGGGGUAACGGCUCACCAAGGCGACGAUCCCUAGCUGGUCUGAGAGGAUGACCAGCCAAACUGGGACUGGGACACGGUCCAGACUCCUACGGGAGGCAGCAGUGGGGAAUAUUGCACAAUGGGCGCAAGCCUGACGCAGCCAUGCCGCGUGUAUGAAGAAGGCCUUCGGGUUGUAAAGUACUUUCGGUGGGGAGGCGUUACCCGCAGAAGAAGCACCGGCUAACUCCGUGCCAGCAGCCGCGGUAAUUC
RNAcentral lists this ribosomal RNA (406 nucleotides) under uncultured bacterium. Its description in RNAcentral is "partial 16S ribosomal RNA". It matches the Rfam family "Bacterial small subunit ribosomal RNA", at positions 30 to 526 of the family's 1533-position model. The record is from RNAcentral.